Molecule: long non-coding RNA, 1106 nt
Organism: Cyprinus carpio carpio
Lineage: Eukaryota; Metazoa; Chordata; Actinopteri; Cypriniformes; Cyprinidae
Source: Ensembl
UCUGGGAGGAGCAGCAAAAGAUGCCGACCUUAAACUAAACCUGAUCUAAAGUAUUGGAAGAGGCACUAACGGGGUAAAAGCAGGUCUCUGGCGGAAAAGCUCAUGAUAGACAUGGCAAUAAAUCCAGAGAAAUAGAGAGAUGGAACUCCAUAUGGAGGUUUUCUAUAAGGCCAAAGAUCCAUGUUGUUGCAUGGAAAAAUACACGAGAAAUUGAGACGCAGCCGGGUGAGGUAGAUAGGUGGUUAAUUUUCUUAUUUAUAUGGAAAGCUUUGCUUCAAAAUCUGUUGUUUGGGAGUCUGAUCACUGAACACGCCACUGUAAUCGCUUCAUGUUUCUUUGAAAGUCCAUCAGCCAUGACGAGCCUAAACUGAGAUGUAGUUAUUAAUGUGUUUUUUGUAGUUACAGUGACAUCAAAAACCUUUUGCAGCAUUGUUUGUUCCAGUCUAAAUGUUGAGAUUUUUUGAUGCUUUUGAAAGAUGAUUUUAUGCUCACCAAGGCUGCAUUUAUAUGAUUAAAAAAAUACUGUAAAACAGCAAUAUUGUGAAAUAUUUGUACUGUUUUGGUUUUAAUAUAUUUUAAAAUGUAAUUUUUUCCUGUGAUGCAAUUUUCUGCAUCAUUACUCCAGUCUUCAGUGUCACAUUAUCCUUCAGAAAUCAUAUUGAUAUGCUGAUUUGCUGCUCAAGAAACAUUUCUUAUUAAUAUCAAUGUUGAAAAGAGUUGUGCUGCUUAAAAUUUUUGUGCAAACCCUGACACAUUUGUAAAUGUUCAAAUGAACAUCAUUUAUUGAAAAUAGAAAAGUUUUGUAGCAUUAUGUCUUUGCUGAAUACAAAUAUUAUUAUUUUUUCUUUUUAACAGUACUGUAUUAUGUUAUAUAAUGCAAUGAUAUUCAGACAUUUUAAAUGUGGUGUUGUAUAAAGUAGUCAUCAAAGUUCAUCAAAGUUGUGCAUUAUGGUUUCAAAAGAAAAAAAACAAGAAACAAAAUGUUUUCUUAAAAUAAAUCUUACUUGUAUAUAAAAAAAUCAUGAUAUUCCUUGUUACAAAAACGUCAUCUAAUUUGAUUUAAAAAGUAUGUUUUAAUAAACCUGGUUUUAAUAGUCUAAUGUGAA